AUUGAACGCUGGCGGCAGGCCUAACACAUGCAAGUCGAACGGUAACAGGAAGCAGCUUGCUGCUUCGCUGACGAGUGGCGGACGGGUGAGUAAUGUCUGGGAAGCUGCCUGAUGGAGGGGGAUAACUACUGGAAACGGUAGCUAAUACCGCAUAAUGUCGCAAGACCAAAGAGGGGGACCUUCGGGCCUCUUUCCAUCGGAUGUGCCCAGAUGGGAUUAGCUUGUUGGUGGGGUAACGGCUCACCAAGGCGACGAUCCCUAGCUGGUCUGAGAGGAUGACCAGCCACACUGGAACUGAGACACGGUCCAGACUCCUACGGGAGGCAGCAGUGGGGAAUAUUGCACAAUGGGCGCAAGCCUGAUGCAGCCAUGCCGCGUGUAUGAAGAAGGCCUUCGGGUUGUAAAGUACUUUCAGCGGGGAGGAAGGAAGUAAAGUUAAUACCUUUGCUCAUUGACGUUACCCGCAGAAGAAGCACCGGCUAACUCCGUG
This 490-nucleotide ribosomal RNA is filed under the name uncultured bacterium. RNAcentral's name for it is "partial 16S ribosomal RNA". It matches the Rfam family "Bacterial small subunit ribosomal RNA", at positions 30 to 507 of the family's 1533-position model. The record is from RNAcentral.